GGAGAUGUGCCUGAAUACUAAGGGCCACUUUGAUAGAGUGAACUAUGGGGGUUAGACUCCCCCCAUCUCCU
This 71-nucleotide transfer RNA is filed under the name Pseudodax moluccanus (chiseltooth wrasse). RNAcentral describes it as "tRNA-Ile". It matches the Rfam family "tRNA". From Rfam's summary of the family: Transfer RNA (tRNA) molecules are approximately 80 nucleotides in length. Their secondary structure includes four short double-helical elements and three loops (D, anti-codon, and T loops). Further hydrogen bonds mediate the characteristic L-shaped molecular structure. tRNAs have two regions of fundamental functional importance: the anti-codon, which is responsible for specific mRNA codon recognition, and the 3' end, to which the tRNAs corresponding amino acid is attached (by aminoacyl-tRNA synthetases). tRNAs cope with the degeneracy of the genetic code in two manners: having more than one tRNA (with a specific anti-codon) for a particular amino acid; and 'wobble' base-pairing, i.e. permitting non-standard base-pairing at the 3rd anti-codon position. Lineage: Eukaryota; Metazoa; Chordata; Actinopteri; Labriformes; Labridae. The record is from RNAcentral.